This 546-nucleotide ribosomal RNA is filed under the name uncultured bacterium. RNAcentral describes it as "bacterial SSU rRNA". It matches the Rfam family "Bacterial small subunit ribosomal RNA", at positions 875 to 1430 of the family's 1533-position model. The record is from RNAcentral.
GGGGAGUAUCGGUCGCAAGAUUAAAACUCAAAGGAAUUGACGGGGGGGCCCGCACAAGCGGUGGAGCAUGUGGUUUAAUUCGAAAGCAACCGCGCAGAACCUUACCAACCCCUUGACAUCCCUGAUCGCGGUUACCAGAGAUGGUUUCCUUCAGUUCGGCUGGAUCAGUGACAGGUGCUGCAUGGCCGUCGUCAGCUCGUGUCGUGAGAUGUUCGGUUAAGUCCGGCAACGAGCGCAACCCACAUCUUUUAGUUGCCAGCAGGUUAAGCUGGGCACUCUAAAGAAACUGCCCGUGAUAAGCGGGAGGAAGGUGUGGAUGACGUCAAGUCCUCAUGGCCCUUACGGGUUGGGCUACACACGUGCUACAAUGGUAGUGACAAUGGGUUAAUCCCAAAAAACUAUCUCAGUUCGGAUUGGGGUCUGCAACUCGACCCCAUGAAGUCGGAAUCGCUAGUAAUCGCGUAACAGCAUGACGCGGUGAAUACGUUCCCGGGCCUUGUACACACCGCCCGUCACAUCAUGGGAAUUGGCUCUACCCGAAGACGC